CACCUAAUAGCUAGCCCGCCCCAACAAAAACAACAAAUCAUUAUUUAUAACCCCUCAUCCCCGAGACCCAGCGUAAACAAACCAUUUUUCCACCUUAGUAUAGGCGAUAGAAAAGGAGCCCCGGCGCAAUAGAGAAAGUACCGCAAGGGAAAGCUGAAAGAGAAAUGAAAUAACCCAGUAAAGACUAGAAAAGCAGAGAUUUAUCCUCGUACCUUUUGCAUCAUGAACUAGCUAGUAAUUUUCAAGCAAAGUGACCUUUAGUUUGACCCCCCGAAACUAAGUGAGCUACUCCAAGACAGCCUAAAAUAGGGCGAACCCGUCUCUGUGGCAAAAGAGUGGGAAGAGCUUUGAGUAGAGGUGACAGACCUACCGAACUUAGUUAUAGCUGGUUGCCCGAGAAAUGGAUAGGAGUUCAGCCUUUUGGGCUUCUUUAUUCCCCCUGUCUCAACCUCACCAGAUAGGCCAAGAAACCAAAAGAGUUAUUCAAAGGGGGUACAGCCCCUUUGAAACAAGACACAACUUUAACAGGAGGAUAGAGAUCAUAAUACCCCAGGGAUAAAAUGUUUUGGUGGGCCUAAAAGCAGCCACCCCCUCAGAAAGCGUUAAAGCUCAUACAUUUUUAACCCCUUUAAUUCUGAUAACCAUAUCUCAACCCCUGCGACUACCGGGCCGUCCCAUGUCCCCCAUGGGAGCGACCAUGCUAGUAUGAGUAAUAAGAGGGCCACGCCCCUCUCCCCGCACACGUGUACCUCGGAACGAACCCGCACCGAACUUUAACGGCCCCAACAAAAGAGGGCACUGGACAACAAGUAAAAAGCCAGAAAAACAUCCAGCAUGUAACCGUUAACCCCACACUGGCGUGCCCAAAGGGAAAGACUAAAAGAAAGAGAAGGAACUCGGCAAACACCUAAAGCCUCGCCUGUUUACCAAAAACAUCGCCUCUUGCAAAAUUAAUGAAUAAGAGGUCCUGCCUGCCCUGUGACUAUACGUUUAACGGCCGCGGUAUUUUGACCGUGCGAAGGUAGCGCAAUCACUUGUCUUUUAAAUGGAGACCUGUAUGAAUGGCAAGACGAGGGCUUGACUGUCUCCUCUUUCAAGUCAAUGAAAUUGAUCUCCCCGUGCAGAAGCGGGGAUAUAAUCAUAAGACGAGAAGACCCUAUGGAGCUUUAGACACCAAAGUAGCCCCUGUUAAACACCCCUGCUUAAAGGACUAAACCGAAGGGGUCCUACCCUAAUGUCUUUGGUUGGGGCGACCGCGGGGAAACACAAAACCCCCAUGUGGAACGGGACCACCCAUUCCUAAAACAGAGAGCUCCUGCUCUAAGAAACAAAAUUUUUGACCUCCAGAUCCGGCAAAGCCGAUCAACGGACCGAGUUACCCUAGGGAUAACAGCGCAAUCCUCUUUUAGAGCCCAUAUCGACAAGGGGGUUUACGACCUCGAUGUUGGAUCAGGACAUCCUAAUGGUGCAGCCGCUAUUAAGGGUUCGUUUGUUCAACGAUUAAAGUCCUACGUGAUCUGAGUUCAGACCGGAGUAAUCCAGGUCAGUUUCUAUCUAUGCUAUGCUCUUUUCUAGUACGAAAGGACCGAAAAGAAGGGGCCCAUGCUUACGGCACGCCUCACCCCUACCUAAUGAAAUCAACUAAAACAGGCAAGAGGACAUAACCCCACAAGCCUGAGAACACGGCAU
Molecule: ribosomal RNA, 1689 nt
Filed under: Ctenolabrus rupestris (goldsinny wrasse)
Lineage: Eukaryota; Metazoa; Chordata; Actinopteri; Labriformes; Labridae
Description: 16S rRNA
Rfam family: Bacterial large subunit ribosomal RNA
Source: RNAcentral